Molecule: ribosomal RNA, 700 nt
Filed under: uncultured Staphylococcus sp.
Lineage: Bacteria; Bacillati; Bacillota; Bacilli; Caryophanales; Staphylococcaceae
Description: bacterial SSU rRNA
Rfam family: Bacterial small subunit ribosomal RNA
Source: RNAcentral
GCAAGUCGAGCGAACGGACGAGAAGCUUGCUUCUCUGAUGUUAGCGGCGGACGGGUGAGUAACACGUGGAUAACCUACCUAUAAGACUGGGAUAACUUCGGGAAACCGUAGCUAAUACCGGAUAAUAUUUUGAACCGCAUGGUUCAAAAGUGAAAGACGGUCUUGCUGUCACUUAUAGAUGGAUCCGCGCUGCAUUAGCUAGUUGGUAAGGUAACGGCUUACCAAGGCAACGAUGCAUAGCCGACCUGAGAGGGUGAUCGGCCACACUGGAACUGAGACACGGUCCAGACUCCUACGGGAGGCAGCAGUAGGGAAUCUUCCGCAAUGGGCGAAAGCCUGACGGAGCAACGCCGCGUGAGUGAUGAAGGUCUUCGGAUCGUAAAACUCUGUUAUUAGGGAAGAACAUAUGUGUAAGUAACUGUGCACAUCUUGACGGUACCUAAUCAGAAAGCCACGGCUAACUACGUGCCAGCAGCCGCGGUAAUACGUAGGUGGCAAGCGUUAUCCGGAAUUAUUGGGCGUAAAGCGCGCGUAGGCGGUUUUUUAAGUCUGAUGUGAAAGCCCACGGCUCAACCGUGGAGGGUCAUUGGAAACUGGAAAACUUGAGUGCAGAAGAGGAAAGUGGAAUUCCAUGUGUAGCGGUGAAAUGCGCAGAGAUAUGGAGGAACACCAGUGGCGAAGGCGACUUUCUGGUCUGUAA